UCGAGAAUUUUUCUCAAUGGGCGAAAGCCUGAAGGAGCGACGCCGCGUGGGGGAUGAAUGGCUUCGGCCCGUAAACCCCUGUCAUUUGUGAACAAGUUGUUUCACUUAACAUGUGAAGCAUUGAUAGUAACAGAAGAGGAAGGGACGGCUAACUCUGUGCCAGCAGCCGCGGUAAUACAGAGGUCCCAAGCGUUGUUCGGAUUCACUGGGCGUAAAGGGUGCGUAGGCGGUUGGAUAAGUCUGACGUGAAAUCUCCGGGCCUAACCCGGAAACUGCGUUGGAUACUGUCCGGCUGGAGGAAUGGAGGGGAGACUGGAAUACUUGGUGUAGCAGUGAAAUGCGUAGAUAUCAAGUGGAACACCAGUGGCGAAGGCGAGUCUCUGGACAUUUCCUGACGCUGAGGCACGAAAGCCAGGGGAGCAAACGGGAUUAGAUACCCCCGUAGUCC
This 448-nucleotide ribosomal RNA is filed under the name uncultured bacterium. RNAcentral's name for it is "bacterial SSU rRNA". It matches the Rfam family "Bacterial small subunit ribosomal RNA", at positions 355 to 796 of the family's 1533-position model. The record is from RNAcentral.